Molecule: small nuclear RNA, 106 nt
Filed under: Heterocephalus glaber (naked mole-rat)
Lineage: Eukaryota; Metazoa; Chordata; Mammalia; Rodentia; Bathyergidae
Source: RNAcentral
GUGCUCGCUUCGCAGCACAUAUACCAAAAUUGGAACUAUACAGAGAAGAUUAGCAUGGCCCCUGCGCAAGGAUGACAUACAAAUUUGUGAAGUGUUCCAUAUUUUU